UACGUAGGGUGCAGGCGUUAAUCGGAAUUACUGGGCGUAAAGCGCGCGCAGGCGGUUCUUUAAGUCAGGGGUGAAAGCCCAGAGCUCAACUCUGGAAUUGCCUUUGAAACUAGAGAACUUGGGUACGGGAGAGGUGAGUGGAAUUCCGAGUGUAGAGGUGAAAUUCGUAGAUAUUCGGAAGAACACCAGUGGCGAAGGCGGCUCACUGGCCCGUUACCGACGCUCAGGCGCGACAGCGUGGGGAGCAAACAGG
This 253-nucleotide ribosomal RNA is filed under the name uncultured bacterium. RNAcentral describes it as "partial 16S ribosomal RNA". It matches the Rfam family "Bacterial small subunit ribosomal RNA", at positions 524 to 776 of the family's 1533-position model. The record is from RNAcentral.